This 432-nucleotide ribosomal RNA is filed under the name uncultured bacterium. Its description in RNAcentral is "partial 16S ribosomal RNA". It matches the Rfam family "Bacterial small subunit ribosomal RNA", at positions 29 to 507 of the family's 1533-position model. The record is from RNAcentral.
ACGAACGCUGGCGGCAUGCCUAACACAUGCAAGUCGAACGAGACCUUUGGGUCUAGUGGCGCACGGGUGCGUAACGCGUGGGAAUCUGCCCUUGGGUUCGGAAUAACAGUGAGAAAUUGCUGCUAAUACCGGAUGAUGUCUUCGGACCAAAGAUUUAUCGCCCAGGGAUGAGCCCGCGUAGGAUUAGCUAGUUGGUGGGGUAAUGGCCUACCUAGGCGACGAUCCUUAGCUGGUCUGAGAGGAUGAUCAGCCACACUGGCACUGAGACACGGCCCAGACUCCUACGGGAGGCAGCAGUGGGGAAUAUUGGACAAUGGGCGCAAGCCUGAUCCAGCAAUGCCGCGUGAGUGAUGAAGGCCUUAGGGUUGUAAAGCUCUUUUACCAGGGAUGAUAAUGACAGUACCUGGAGAAUAAGCUCCGGCUAACUCCGUG